MicroRNA precursor from Oryza sativa Japonica Group (Japanese rice), 207 nucleotides. It matches the Rfam family "MIR812 microRNA precursor family". NCBI's taxonomy places the organism in Eukaryota, Viridiplantae, Streptophyta, Magnoliopsida, Poales, Poaceae. The record is from Rfam.
AAUAAGUGUAGUUAUGGGUUUCUGUGUCCAAUGUUUGACCGCCCGUCUUAUUUAAAAAAAAAUGAUUAGUAUUUUUUGUUGUUAUUAGAUGAUAAAAUAUGAAUAGUACUUUAUGUAUGACUAUUUUUUUAAAAAAUAUUUUAUAAAAUUUUCAAAUAAGACAGUUGGUCAAAUGUUGCACAGAGACCGACCACUAAAGCACUCUCC